RNAcentral lists this transfer RNA (97 nucleotides) under Echria macrotheca. RNAcentral's name for it is "tRNA-Ile". Lineage: Eukaryota; Fungi; Ascomycota; Sordariomycetes; Sordariales; Schizotheciaceae. The record is from RNAcentral.
GCUCUGUUAGCUCAGCUGGUUAGAGCGUCGUACUAAUACAGGAAUGUCCUGUAUGUGGUCCAUGCGAAGGUCAACAGUUCAAUCCUGUUACGGAGCA